GCCAGCUCAUCAGGCUCCCGAGAGCCAACC
Molecule: small RNA, 30 nt
Filed under: Bombyx mori (domestic silkworm)
Lineage: Eukaryota; Metazoa; Arthropoda; Insecta; Lepidoptera; Bombycidae
Description: ovarian small RNA-16604
Source: RNAcentral